AAAGUCGUAACAAGGUUUCCGUAGGUGAACCUGCGGAAGGAUCAUUACCACAUUUCGUCUCCUUCUCUGCGAGACGAUAUCCACCCCACGUGAACAUUGAGAUGUUUUCUGACAUUCAAUUUCUCUCCACCCCAAAUGCCAACCUACCUCUGAUUGUAGAUUGAGUGCGAUGAUGUGUGCUGGAGCCCUUUCUCGGGCUGUCAAUGCAUGUGACACACUCAAGACCACAAACCCAACCAAAACUCCUAACGAUGGAUAUCUUGGUUCUCGCAACGAUGAAGAACGCAGCGAAAUGCGAUACGCAGUGCGAAUUGCAGAAUUCAGUGAAUCAUCAGAACUUUGAACGCAUAUUGCGCUCUGAGGUAUUCCUCAGAGCAUGUUUGUCUCAGUGGCAUCUCCCUCUCUCCCCCUGUGGGUUUUCUCACGCCAGGGUGGUAGGAUUGCGAGCCGUCCGAGAAUCGAUUGCUCGAUCUCUCUGUCGCUCCAAGAGCAGAGUUGGCCCGCUUGGCGACACAUUGAACUGUCUUGUGCCGAGCGUAGCGUGGUAGUAGGGUGCGCUGUAUGGUGCAUCCCUUCCGAUCGCUGUCGCUGUUGUGCACAUGAGGCAGGUGUCUGCUGCACUACUGGCGGUGAUUCCGGCUAGAUCGCACGGCAUGCUGUGGAGAGAGCUGAUGAGUGAUGGGUCUUUUUGGACUCGUUGCUCGUUGGGUUUUCUGUCUGCGGUGUGUUUGUCUGGCAUUUGAAUCUUGCCCUGAGAUCAAGCAAGGCUACCCGCUGAAAUUAAGCAUAUUCAAUAAACCGGAGGAAAUCCUUAGGGAAUUCCCGGCCCCCCUGGCAGUCGACCAUAUGGGAAAACCUCCCAACGCGUUGGGAAGGCAUAGCUUGGGUUUUUCUAUAGGGGCCCCCCUAAUAAGCUUGGGC
Molecule: ribosomal RNA, 921 nt
Filed under: uncultured eukaryote
Lineage: Eukaryota
Description: eukaryotic LSU rRNA
Rfam family: 5.8S ribosomal RNA (bases 241-394)
Source: RNAcentral